This 2146-nucleotide long non-coding RNA is filed under the name Toxoplasma gondii VEG. The record is from RNAcentral. Lineage: Eukaryota; Apicomplexa; Conoidasida; Eucoccidiorida; Sarcocystidae.
UUGUCGCCGCAUCUGGCGUGUCUUCCAAACGCUAAACCCCAAGCCGAUGUCAGGAGUCAAGCAAAAUGGUUUUACGACCAUUAGUGUUUAUGGUUUGGGAUGCGAUGAAUUAUAAAUCUGUAAGGAUCGUGGUGAGACGCGGGCAACUGCCCAUUUUAUACUUUCUUGGCUCUGCGAUAUCAGACGGGGAAAGGCUGGCGUUCAAUCCAACCGAGACGUCUGUGUCUCGGAUGCGGAAGCCCCGCAGGUGCCAUCCAUUCUGUCGACGCAGGUCAGAUUCCUAAAGGGUCCGCAAACUCUUUUAACGGCCACGGUCGGUUGCUCUUGGGUUCGGGACUUACCUGUCGCAUUUAGAUGACAAAGGGCCUUUUGCAGAAUACUCCAAGUUGUCGUUUUUCCUGUGAGACUCUUCCCCACGAGCAUGUUGCCGUGGCGAGUCUGCAUGGUGAGGAACAGCUGAGUCGCCUUCACGGCGAUGUGGUCGACCUUCUGCAGGCCGUCUGCCUCCAUCGCCCAGUCGAGUGCCCUCCUCAGCACCGGGUCGCUGUUGGGGAACUGCUCAAAACGCAUGCGAGAAGCCCCCGAAAGCAAAUGUCAAUUUCCCACGGCCUUUCAGGUUCCAUCAAAACAAACCAAAUCUGCCCUGGGGAGAAUAUUUCGAUCAAGAGACGACUGCUCACUGACAGGUUUUUGACAGGGCAAUAAACGAACACCGACCCAGCCAACGGUGGGAUCGAUGCCUUCUCAGAGCUCCUGAUGGCGUCUGAACGGCGUCUACCUGAGUCAAAUCCGUUUCUGGAAAGAGGUCAGACAUCAAGGCGUUGAAGAGGAAACUGUCGUCCGUCACAGUUCUGGACGCAUUCAUGUCCAAAAUCGCUCGAAUUAAUACAUCCUGUUCUGUCUGGUCGCCGCCGCUUCGCCGGAUUUGCCCGGCUCGACUCAACACGGCCCGAAUCGCUCGCAGCCCAAAGUCGUAGUGGUCUUGUUUGCUCAGUUGUUGCGUCAUCAGUUGAUAGAGAGUGAUGAUCUUCUUCGAAAGCACGCGAGCGUCCUGACAGGCACCGCUCGAGACAACAACGGAUAGCAGGCUAUAUUUCUGUCACUUCUCCAUACGAGACAAGAGGACGCCACAGAAGACGCGCGAUACACUCACAUGCAAAUGAAGCCUCAUCAGAAGUCGUAGGUCGGCGUGCACGCAUGUGUACAUUCGCAUAAAUGCACUCAUCAAUGCAUGUAUGUGGGUAUGGGAAGCGAGGCAUGUUUCAAUGAGUGUGAAGAGGAGUUACAUGACGCCACUCCUUUCUGAAUCAGCAUGACUGGGCUGAGCGCCCAACCCCGCCGCUUCCUCCACACGACAAAUUACAGCGUGAGCAUUGGAUCGACGCGAGUUCUUGAACUGAUCUGAAGGCGCUGCCUGAAACGCAUCCUGCGUCGGCAGUUUCUCCUUUGCUCUGAGACCUCGUUCCUCACCUCGAAGCCUUCGGCCAUGAGCGUGAUUUCGCAGAUCAUAACCAAAUCGGGAACCAUCAUGGCGACGGGGCGGAAGAGGCUCGUGAGGUUGUCUGGGAGUUCAGUUCGUCCGGCAUAUCCAGGAUUCAUUGUGAUGAAAAUGCCACAGUACGGAUCGAGGCGCACGCGGUGGCCUUCAAACAGAAACUUGAAGUUUUGGAAACUGUCCCAGUGAGGCGGGACUUCCCUACGAAGGACAGCGCCAACGAGAAGACGCGCAUGCUGAAUGACGGAGAUCUGCUGCGCAACGACAGACAAAACUUCAAUUUCGAUGCGGUUGAACUCAUCGAAACAGCCCCAUGUGCCGGACUGCGCCAAGCCGCUGAAAAUCCUGCCGAGGGAAAUGUAGUCCAGGGCGUCGGAGCAAUUGAAGACAAGGACCAGUUUCGCAACGCCUUUCCCCAAAUCUCUAACUGUUUCUGUUUUUCCUGCAGAUUGAGAGGGCGCGACCGCACAAACGAAACACUGGUGAUGUCGUUGAGGGUCCUCUCACAUGUGGCGGCACAGACACUCCGCGGGAGGCCAGGCGAUCGACUGUGCUUCCUUUUCGCUUCCUCUCAUUUCUCUGAAGAACGCGCCAUUUCCAAAUGGCCCAGGGCAAAGCUACCCUUAAGGCCUGCUCUUAGUCAACUCAAAC